This 459-nucleotide ribosomal RNA is filed under the name uncultured bacterium. Its description in RNAcentral is "partial 16S ribosomal RNA". It matches the Rfam family "Bacterial small subunit ribosomal RNA", at positions 338 to 795 of the family's 1533-position model. The record is from RNAcentral.
CCUACGAGUAGCAGCAGUGAGGAAUAUUGGUCAAUGGGCGCGAGCCUGAACCAGCCAAGUAGCGUGAAGGAUGACUGCCCUACGGGUUGUACACUUCUUUUAUAAUGAAUAAAGUGAGGCACGUGUGCCUUUUUGUAUGUACUUUAUGAAUAAGGAUCGGCUAACUCCGUGCCAGCAGCCGCGGUAAUACGGAGGAUCCGAGCGUUAUCCGGAUUUAUUGGGUUUAAAGGGCGCGUAGAUGGGUUGUUAAGUCAGUUGUGAAAGUUUGCGGCUCAACCGUAAAAUUGCAAUUGAUACUGGCAGCCUUGAGUACAGUUGAGGUAGGCGGAAUGCGUGGUGUAGCGGUGAAAUGCUUAGAUAUCACGAAGAACUCCGAUUGCGAAGGCAGCUUACUAAACUGCCACUGACAUUGAUGCUCGAAAGUGUGGGUAUCAAACAGGAGUAGAGACCCUUGUAGUC